CAGCCGCCGCGGGAAUACGAAGGGGGCUAGCGUUGUUCGGAUUAACUGGGCGUAAAGGGUGCGUAGGCGGAUUCUUAAGUCAGGGGUGAAAUCCCGAGGCUCAACCUCGGAACUGCCUUUGAUACUGGGGAUCUUGAGUCCGGAAGAGGUGAGUGGAACUGCGAGUGUAGAGGUGAAAUUCGUAGAUAUUCGCAAGAACACCGGUGGCGAAGGCGGCUCACUGGUCCGGAACUGACGCUGAGGCACGAAAGCGUGGGGAGCAAACAGGAUUAGAUACCCGUGUAGUCCCUGUCUCUUAUAC
Molecule: ribosomal RNA, 301 nt
Filed under: uncultured bacterium
Lineage: Bacteria
Description: partial 16S ribosomal RNA
Rfam family: Bacterial small subunit ribosomal RNA
Source: RNAcentral